Molecule: ribosomal RNA, 446 nt
Filed under: uncultured bacterium
Lineage: Bacteria
Description: partial 16S ribosomal RNA
Rfam family: Bacterial small subunit ribosomal RNA
Source: RNAcentral
AACGAACGCUGGCGGCAGGCCUAAAACAUGCAAGUCGAACGAACCUUCGGGUUAGUGGCGCACGGGUGCGUAACGCGUGGGAAUGUGCCUCUGGGUGCGGAACAACGUCGGGAAACUGACGCUAAUACCGCAUAAUAUCUACGGAUCAAAGAUUUAUCGCCCAGAGAUCAGCCCGCGUCUGAUUAGGUAGUUGGUAGGGUAAUGGCCUACCAAGCCUACGAUCAGUAGCUGGUCUGAGAGGAUGAUCAGCCACACUGGAACUGAGACACGGUCCAGACUCCUACGGGAGGCAGCAGUUAGGAAUAUUGGACAAUGGGGGAAACCCUGAUCCAGCCAUGCCGCGUGUGUGAAGAAGGCCUUAGGGUUGUAAAGCACUUUCGUCUAUGAAGGUAAUGACAGUAGUAGAAGAAGAAGCUCCGGCUAAAUUCGUGCCAGCAGCCGCGUAA